Molecule: non-coding RNA, 268 nt
Filed under: Bacillus sp. (in: firmicutes)
Lineage: Bacteria; Bacillati; Bacillota; Bacilli; Caryophanales; Bacillaceae
Description: Bacillus sp. T-box sequence
Rfam family: T-box leader
About the family: Uncharged tRNA acts as the effector for transcription antitermination of genes in the T-box leader family. T-boxes are found upstream of many aminoacyl-tRNA synthetase genes and some amino acid biosynthetic genes usually in Gram-positive bacteria. The anticodon of a specific tRNA base pairs to a specifier sequence within the T-box motif, and the NCCA acceptor tail of the tRNA base pairs to a conserved bulge in the T-box antiterminator hairpin.
Source: RNAcentral
UAUACGGCUAUGAAGAGAAGAGUAAUUUUGAUUAAUUAUUUGCAGAGAGCUCCGGUAGGUGGAAAGGAGUAAUAAUGAUCUUAAUGAAAAAAGGCUUGGAGCUUUGCACGGAUCUAAGAGCGUUCUUAGUGAUACUGCGACGGGAUCUCCCGUUAAAGAGAUAGGGUAUAAUCAAUUAUUAAAAAAUUGCCGUACCCGAAGAGGUUGAUAUGGUGAUAUAUCAAUAAACUGAGGUGGUACCACGGAGCUAUAAACUCUCGUCCUCAAG